Molecule: ribosomal RNA, 438 nt
Filed under: Coxiella-like endosymbiont
Lineage: Bacteria; Pseudomonadati; Pseudomonadota; Gammaproteobacteria; Legionellales; Coxiellaceae
Description: bacterial SSU rRNA
Rfam family: Bacterial small subunit ribosomal RNA
Source: RNAcentral
UGUGUGAAGAAGGCCUUCGGGUUGUAAAGCACUUUCAGCAGGAAAGAAAGUCUUAAAGUUAAUACCUUUAAUGAGUUGACGUUACCUGCAGAAGAAGCACUGGCUAACUCUGUGCCAGCAGCCGCGGUAAUACAGAGAGUGCAAGCGUUAAUCGGAAUUACUGGGCGUAAAGCGCGCGUAGGUGGAUAUUAAAGUCGGGUGUGAAAGCCCCGAGCUUAACUCGGGAAUUGCGCUCGAUACUGAGUAUCUAGAGUAUAGUAGAGGGAAGUGGAAUUUCCGGUGUAGCGGUGAAAUGCGUAGAUAUCGGAAGGAACACCAGUGGCGAAGGCGGCUUCCUGGACUAAUACUGACACUGAGGUGCGAAAGCGUAGGGAGCAAACAGGAUUAGAGACCCUGGUAGUCCACGCUGUCAACGAUGAGAACUAGCUGUUAGAAAAC